GUAUAUUUCUUGGAAUAUGCAUGCAGCUUGGCUAGAAAUCACUGUUUCAGACCACGGUUGGGAUAGGCUUUCUUGAGUUGAGUCAUAUUGUUUCGGGCAUUGGUGAGAUUUUUGGCUCACUCCAUAGAAUCGAAUUCAUUGUUCAAUCUUCAAAGGUGAACUGCAUCAUUCUUUCCCUCCCUUAUUCUCUUCCUCAAUCUUCAUCUCUUUCUCACUCUAUAUGUAUAUAAAAUUAUAAAUACAUGUGUGUUCCUUGAAUAACUGCUUAUUACUGGGAAUAUCAACUUAUUUUUUAUUAAAUAAUAAUAAUCCAGUUACAUGAAUAUGAAAUGCACAUUUUAUUUUUUGGAAUUCUUUGUUCUUGUGAGGUUUUAGUUAGGGAGAGAGGAAGAUAUACUCGAAUUGUAGUGAUGUUUUCCUAAAUUACGGCAAUAUUUGAAUGUCUAUUGCGCAGCAUCUAGUUUGUUUUUUUAGCCUAUUCGAUUCAACAUGGUUUAUUUUGUUUCAUUUGGAAUAUCAGCAUCUAGUAUGUCUAUUGCCCUUUUCUUGACUUUUGUGGAGUCCUUCAGUACCGGAUUGCAUUAUGUAUUUCUCUUAAGGAUUGAGUUACUUUCUAUUUUAUUGCUUUAAUUCCUUUGGAUCAAAGCCCUGGAUGUUCACCUGUGGAUCAGUUUUAACCUUGGUACCCAAGUCCAUCAGAGCGUGACCACACUAAAUCUGGUAUUGCAGACUAUUAUACAUGAUGCAAUGUAAAUGUGGAAGGGCUCACUGGAAGUCUGAUAUCAGGCCAACUUGCUCGUUGUAAGAAAUUCAUCUCUUUAUCAGUAUACAUGGGUCUGAAGCCUUUGUGUUUGGAGUUUCCCAGGGUACAAUUAUUUGCUGCUGGUUCAUUUUUUCUCAUGUUUUCAUGGCAGAGGGCUGUGGUUAAUUCCAAAGUCUUGAUAUUCUAGGUUGACAGAAAUUGAAUACAGGAGAUAUUUCUGGAGAAACUGUCGUCACAUCAAUUGCAGAGCGAUUGGUGCUUUGUUGGUACCCAAAUCUUCACUCCUUUUUUCUCAGCUUUCUAUGAAUUGAUAAUUGUCUAUCAUCAUGGAAUGAUUGGUCAAUUAUGAUUUAAUCACUCAUUGAAGAUUAAAAUGAGUUCUGUUUAGUUGGCUCACCUGUUCAGAAACAGUGUGUAAAGAUUGUGUGCAAGGGGCUGGAAACAGAUGAUAACAAUGAUGUUCUUUGUGGCCGUGGAGGAAGUUGCUCGACUUCAGAAUUGAACAGGUAGUACGAACUAUCUUUUUUGUUUUCCCCCUUUCUGUUCACCUCCGGAAGUGAGGAACAAAUCCAUAAAUUUUGAUGUUUCUAACCAUGAAUGUGGACUGGAAGAAUUAUGUGAA
Non-coding RNA from Camellia sinensis, 1385 nucleotides. Lineage: Eukaryota; Viridiplantae; Streptophyta; Magnoliopsida; Ericales; Theaceae. The record is from RefSeq and is a predicted model, not a curated record.